UUUAUUCGAGAGUUUGAUCCUGGCUCAGGAUGAACGCUGGCGGCGUGCUUAACACAUGCAAGUCGAACGGGGUUAUGAUGUGUGAAGAAGAUAGCUUGCUAUUGACCGAACUUUUCAUAACCUAGUGGCGGACGGGUGAGUAACGCGUGGGUAACCUGCCUUGCACUGGGGGAUAACACUUAGAAAUAGGUGCUAAUACCGCAUAAGCGCACAUCUUCGCAUGAAGAAGUGUGAAAAACUCCGGUGGUGCAAGAUGGACCCGCGUCUGAUUAGCUAGUUGGCGGGGUAACGGCCCACCAAGGCGACGAUCAGUAGCCGGCCUGAGAGGGUGGACGGCCACAUUGGGACUGAGACACGGCCCAAACUCCUACGGGAGGCAGCAGUGGGGGAUAUUGGACAAUGGGGGGAACCC
This 412-nucleotide ribosomal RNA is filed under the name Lachnospiraceae bacterium. Its description in RNAcentral is "bacterial SSU rRNA". It matches the Rfam family "Bacterial small subunit ribosomal RNA", at positions 1 to 383 of the family's 1533-position model. Lineage: Bacteria; Bacillati; Bacillota; Clostridia; Lachnospirales; Lachnospiraceae. The record is from RNAcentral.